This 72-nucleotide transfer RNA is filed under the name Camelus bactrianus (Bactrian camel). It matches the Rfam family "tRNA". From Rfam's summary of the family: Transfer RNA (tRNA) molecules are approximately 80 nucleotides in length. Their secondary structure includes four short double-helical elements and three loops (D, anti-codon, and T loops). Further hydrogen bonds mediate the characteristic L-shaped molecular structure. tRNAs have two regions of fundamental functional importance: the anti-codon, which is responsible for specific mRNA codon recognition, and the 3' end, to which the tRNAs corresponding amino acid is attached (by aminoacyl-tRNA synthetases). tRNAs cope with the degeneracy of the genetic code in two manners: having more than one tRNA (with a specific anti-codon) for a particular amino acid; and 'wobble' base-pairing, i.e. permitting non-standard base-pairing at the 3rd anti-codon position. RNAcentral also lists the same sequence under 1 other name. The record is from Rfam by way of RNAcentral. Lineage: Eukaryota; Metazoa; Chordata; Mammalia; Artiodactyla; Camelidae.
GAGGGUAUAGCUCAGUGGUAGAGUGCGUGCUUAGCAUGCAUGAGGUCCUGGGUUCACUCCCCAGUACUUCUA